ACCAGCUCUGCUUAGGCUCAGAGGUAGCUCUACUGAAUUAAUUCUGGCAGUGUUUGGAUCAUAAAUCUUUUAUUGCAGUUUUGUUAUGAUUAGCUUACGUCUUGAAAUGGUCUGAUAUGUGCUCAAUUAUAUAAAAUGUGCAUUUAAAAGAAAACUGGAUGAGAGCUUUGUUGGACCUGGCUCUUAUUGUUGGGGUCAGUUUCAAGGACAAAAUUUAUUGCUGCUUUUUUUUUUUAAACGGAAAAAAAUCAUAGAAAAAAGCUACAAAAAUGCUUCAAGAAACUGGCAUUUUACUUUAAAAAUAAAAUAUGAGUAGAAAGAAGUGAUUUUAUUUUAUUUAUUAUUGUUGGAAGCUGCAUGUUUAAACUGAGGAGAAUUUCUUGCACAGCCCAGACUGCCCCAGGCAAGGCUUGGGGAGCUCUGUGGAAAGGACUUUUCAUUUUAAACAGUAGAGACCCUGCAGCUGAUGCAAAAUGCUCCCGUCCAAGUUUAACACCCUUUCCUGGGGACCAGACACAGAGCACCCCAGCUACAAAGUGUCUCUGUGGAUAUCACAGAGACACCCGGAGGGGGAAAGUCUGACUGUCCUUCUGCAGCUAGCAGUUUCUGCAGUCUACAGCAUCUGGCUUUCCACUCAGCUAUUUCAGCUUUUUGAGGAUUUCAGAAAAAGAUGGAGUCUUAUCAAAACAUACUCAGACAUUUUUAGACCAUCUAUUUUAGCUACUUCUUUCCCUGGCAAUAACCUCAGAAAAACUCCUGUUGGAAGCACCACUGAUGCUAACAGUACGUCCACUAAAAUAUCUUUGGUGAAAUGGUGUACAUUAGGGAUGAGUCAAAAUGUUCAACCGCACAAGGUGAUGAGUGCUUCUGUUAAGCCACCUGGGAUCCAAGAAUACCUGGUCAAGUAUUUUGUGAGCUUCUGCCUGCUUAAACUGGCCGACAUGGGGAAGAAAACCACCAGAGAUUCAAAGAUGGGACUAAUAACAGGGAAAAUUUAUGAGAAGUCCUCAAGACUCGUUCCUCUGGGGACCCGGCUGCAAAUGGUAGAGAAUGACUGA
RNAcentral lists this long non-coding RNA (1058 nucleotides) under Anser cygnoides (Swan goose). Its description in RNAcentral is "lncRNA (ENSACDG00005017302.1)". The record is from RNAcentral. Lineage: Eukaryota; Metazoa; Chordata; Aves; Anseriformes; Anatidae.